CGUUUACACUCCUACGGGAGGCAGCAGUGGGGAAUCUUGGACAAUGGGCGCAAGCCUGAUCCAGCCAUGCCGCGUGAGUGAUGAAGGCCCUAGGGUCGUAAAGCUCUUUCGCCAGGGAUGAUAAUGACAGUACCUGGUAAAGAAACCCCGGCUAACUCCGUGCCAGCAGCCGCGGUAAUACGGAGGGGGUUAGCGUUGUUCGGAAUUACUGGGCGUAAAGCGCGCGUAGGCGGACUGGAAAGUUGGGGGUGAAAUCCCGGGGCUCAACCCCGGAACUGCCUCCAAAACUCCCAGUCUUGAGUUCGAGAGAGGUGAGUGGAAUUCCGAGUGUAGAGGUGAAAUUCGUAGAUAUUCGGAGGAACACCAGUGGCGAAGGCGGCUCACUGGCUCGAUACUGACGCUGAGGUGCGAAAGUGUGGGGAGCAAACAGGAUUAGAUACCCUGGUAG
Molecule: ribosomal RNA, 448 nt
Filed under: uncultured bacterium
Lineage: Bacteria
Description: bacterial SSU rRNA
Rfam family: Bacterial small subunit ribosomal RNA
Source: RNAcentral